Ipomoea triloba (trilobed morning glory) is the source of this 471-nucleotide long non-coding RNA. RefSeq lists it as uncharacterized. The transcript has 2 exons. NCBI's taxonomy places the organism in Eukaryota, Viridiplantae, Streptophyta, Magnoliopsida, Solanales, Convolvulaceae. The record is from RefSeq and is a predicted model, not a curated record.
UAACGUUUAUUCCAUCCUCAAAAAUUAAACCAUCCAUCAUCUAAUUGUUAUCGACCAUCGAUCAACGCAAACCAAAACCAUGAGCAGCAGCAGCAACAGCCACCAAUUCGAUCACGAUUAUGCAGCGAAAGGGCCGCACAUGGUAGCGCCUCCUCCGCCUGCGGGGUAUCCGACGGCGGCCGGCGACGCUCAAGUCCGGCGGCGCAAGCGUCAUAACACCAAAAGCAGAGGUGAUGGAUUCUGGAAAGGGUGCUGUGCAGCAUUGUGCUGCUGUUGGGUGUUAGAUGUGUGCUGCUAAUUCAUUAUUGGCCAUCAUUUAUUAUUAGGAUUGUUUUCCAGCAUAUUAUAUGUAUGUAUGUAGUAUAGGCUCAUGUUUUUUAAUGUAAUGUACUAGUGGCUCUUUGCAGAAUUCUUGUAACAAUAAAUAAAUAAUUCAUCCAUUUUAUUUAAAAUAUGACUCAUUGUUUUCAA